GGUUGUUUGGCCGAGCGGUCUUAAGGCGCCUGAUUCAAGCUCAGGUAUCGUAAGAUGCAAGAGUUCGAAUCUCUUAGCAACCA
RNAcentral lists this transfer RNA (83 nucleotides) under Saccharomyces cerevisiae CLIB215. RNAcentral describes it as "tRNA-Leu (CAA) (tRNA-Leu-CAA-3-1)". It matches the Rfam family "tRNA". From Rfam's summary of the family: Transfer RNA (tRNA) molecules are approximately 80 nucleotides in length. Their secondary structure includes four short double-helical elements and three loops (D, anti-codon, and T loops). Further hydrogen bonds mediate the characteristic L-shaped molecular structure. tRNAs have two regions of fundamental functional importance: the anti-codon, which is responsible for specific mRNA codon recognition, and the 3' end, to which the tRNAs corresponding amino acid is attached (by aminoacyl-tRNA synthetases). tRNAs cope with the degeneracy of the genetic code in two manners: having more than one tRNA (with a specific anti-codon) for a particular amino acid; and 'wobble' base-pairing, i.e. permitting non-standard base-pairing at the 3rd anti-codon position. Lineage: Eukaryota; Fungi; Ascomycota; Saccharomycetes; Saccharomycetales; Saccharomycetaceae. The record is from RNAcentral.